This 73-nucleotide transfer RNA is filed under the name Merluccius polli (Benguela hake). Its description in RNAcentral is "tRNA-Tyr". It matches the Rfam family "tRNA". From Rfam's summary of the family: Transfer RNA (tRNA) molecules are approximately 80 nucleotides in length. Their secondary structure includes four short double-helical elements and three loops (D, anti-codon, and T loops). Further hydrogen bonds mediate the characteristic L-shaped molecular structure. tRNAs have two regions of fundamental functional importance: the anti-codon, which is responsible for specific mRNA codon recognition, and the 3' end, to which the tRNAs corresponding amino acid is attached (by aminoacyl-tRNA synthetases). tRNAs cope with the degeneracy of the genetic code in two manners: having more than one tRNA (with a specific anti-codon) for a particular amino acid; and 'wobble' base-pairing, i.e. permitting non-standard base-pairing at the 3rd anti-codon position. Lineage: Eukaryota; Metazoa; Chordata; Actinopteri; Gadiformes; Merlucciidae. The record is from RNAcentral.
CCUUCGAUAGCUCAGUUGGUAGAGCGGAGGACUGUAGGUCCUUAGGUUGCAGGUUCACCUCCGGCUCGAAGGA